Molecule: long non-coding RNA, 3392 nt
Filed under: Nicotiana benthamiana
Lineage: Eukaryota; Viridiplantae; Streptophyta; Magnoliopsida; Solanales; Solanaceae
Description: long non-coding RNA (NBEN_LNC040558)
Source: RNAcentral
UCUAGCCCCCCUAUAUACAAACGACGUUGUUUGGCUCGAGUAAUCCAGGCCGUCCGUCAUCCCCAAUCCAACUAUCCAGAUUUGAUCAAUCAUUUUAACUAAAAGUGUAAUAACACACUUUUACAAAUUCAGAGACCAAACCCGCCACCCACCGCGAAAAUCGCCUCUGCCGGCGGCGAAGCUCCAAACAACUCCAAAAUAACCCCACAGCAUCCCCUCGUCUUCCUCUUUCCAAAUCCCCAAACCCAUCCUUCAAAGCCUAGGCAAUCUUCUCGAAUCUUAGAUCUAAACUCUGACCCAAAACCCUACUUUCUCCAAACCAGUCCAAACUUACACCACAUAUCCUCCCCAUCUCCUUCUUCUUAAAUCCAUAGCCUAUAACCCUCAAACAUCACCCUAUCCUCUCAAAUUUUAGAUCGAAGGUUGACUUCAAAAUCCUAUUUUUUUCAAACUUCGAAGUUCAUUUGAUUUUGGACUGUAAUAGUCCUUAAUCUUGCGUUUCUCAUGGAAAUACACGAUUAAGGACAAACUGUAGUCCGGAUUUUUGCAAGGGCCAUUCAUUCUAAAUCAGUAAGUUCUUCAAAAUUCUCUGAUUUUUUUUAUUAGUUUUGUUUAAUCUUGAUUUGAUUUUUAUUUUGUUAGUUUAAGUGUUUAGGUGUUAGUUUCUGAUUAGUUCAAAUUGUUAAGUUAGUUGGUUUUUCUUUUAGUUUUACUUCGAUUCAAUUUGUGUUUUGGAAAUUCUGAUAAUUAGUGUAAUAUUUGGUUUAAAUACAUGUGUAUUAGCUCUUAAUUCAGUAGCUUUUUUAUGUUUACUUCUAUUUUUAUUCUUAAGGUUGAUUGCCGUAUGUGUUUCAUUCUGUUCCAAUAAUUGCUUUGUAAUUUGAUUUUGUUCCAUUUUAUAUUUUAUUUUAAUUGUGUUUCAAAUCUAUUUUGGGUAUUGUUGAUUUUGGCUUGAUUGAAUCAAUAGUUCUGUUAGUUUAAUUAGUCUAAUUUGAUUCAUUUCAGCUUUAACUCAGUGUUUAGUUUCAAAGUUAAUUAGGCUUAAGUGAUUGGUUAUAACUGGUUUAGUUUUGUAAAUUAAUCGUGGUUCAGUCAAAAGAAUAUGUUAGUUUAACUAGUGUUAGUAAUUUCAGAGGUAUUCAGGGGUAUUUUGGGCACCUAAAAUGGGUAGUCUGAUAUAGGUAGUAAUUUCCGAAUUCUAAGUAAGGGUAGCAUAGGUAUUCCAUAAAUAAAAUGCAAGCUAGAAUACCCUAGAUCCUUCUAGAAUGGGAUCUUAGUGUAAGUCUCAGCAUUCUUAAUGCAGUAUUAUGGGCAACAAACCACAAAUUUAGGGAUUAAUGUAUAAAACUGUAAUAAAAAUGGGGGGAUGAGUGAAUAAGUUACAGAACCGUCUACCACUUUUUUCUGCCUAUAAAUGGCAUGCCUAGUGUCUUCAUAAAUAAGUUUUACACAAUCUGAAAAUUUCUAAAAAUUCCAGCUUCUAAAUUUCUCCCCAAUACCCAUUUUCUGCAAGCUUAAGGUCUGAAAUUUAAAUUUCAAAUUCAAAUAUUCAAAUCUGAAAACCUAAAGUUCAACAAAUUCUCUUCGAUCUUCAUUUCUUCCAAAAAAACAAAAACAAAAGAAAAAUACAAUAAAACUCAACAAAAAAUACUGUUAUAUUGUGACUUUGCGUUGAAUUUCAAGUUGUAGUGUUGGAUUGGCAUCUUCUAGCUCAGUUUCUAGUGAUUGAAGUCCUUAAAAUAUUACUGGUUCAAUUUCAACUAAAUUUGGGUGAAAGUUAGUGUGAUUUGGUCAUUUUAUUGCUGUUAUUCUUCUGUCAUUCCUCCCUAGGUAUUGUGGCUUGAUUUGGGUUGAAAAUUGGUCUUAUGUAAGCUGUGUUAUUGCUGAUCUCUUUGAUGUGAUCCGCUGAACUGUUGCUGAUCUUAUUUCCUUCUUAUUUCGCUCUAAAUUCCAGGUACACAUUUGAAUCUCAUUGCUGUAACUCAGAGCUUGAAAGUGGAAUAAAGUGCUCAACUAUUUGCUCUUGAACUAUGCUUGCUUGGGUUGUGAUGUGUUAGUAGAUCAAUAGGUUUUAAUUAAUGUGUAAUUAUCUAGUUUGUGUUAACAUGGCACAAUAGGUCGUGGGUUGUUUAAUCAUGGACUGUUUUGACAUCAAUUUGGACUGUUAUGAGGCUAUGAAUCCUAUAGGACUGUUUGUGUAUAAUUUGGAUUGUUGUUUGUAUUAGCUUUCACUGUUAAGCACUAGCGUAAAUACAAAAAUUGAUUUUAGGUUUCAUUUGUGGUUACUAAGUGAGCAUUAGAGAUGACGAUUUAGACUUGGACAGUAUGUCCAAUUAGUUUACCAUAUUCCCACUAUUUUCAUAAUGAAUCUCAUCUCCUGUUUGUAAUUAAAUCGGAUUGGAUAUAUAUGAGUCUUAGAACUGGACAUACGGACUGGAUAUAUAUAAAUCGGACUGGACUCGAACUUGAAUAGUCGUAGUUCGAACUCCAGGUGCUUGUUCAACAGUAUUGGCGUCGGCAUAACAAAUUUUCAGCAUGAUCAGCAUUAAAUUAGUUAUGGUUUCAGUAUUAAAGUUUCAGCAUGUUCAAAUUUUCUGGAAGUAGUUAUGGCUUCAAUAUCAAUUUUUCAUUUCAAAUCUAUAAAGUUAAGAGCAUGUGAAUCAAACCCAAACAACUAUCAAAUUUAGAUUGAAUGAUGAUUCUUUGAGUUGAGUUUAAAUUGAUAAACAGUUCCUCCUUGUUGGGCCAUGGGUUAGGCCAAACGUUUGGCCUACUUACCCAAUCGACAAUCUGGCUUUUGCUUAUGUCAUGACCCAAACCCGGCCGUGAUGGCACCCAAACCUAAAGCUAGGUAAGCCUGACCAAUAAUCACUUCUAACGUAACAUUUAAGUCUCAAACUGAGAAUUUAACAAAAUAAUAAUCCACGAAUAUUAAUAAUAUGGUAUAAGUAAAAUACAAAAAUCAGAAGCACACCCAUAUGAUCUGGGGGUCACGAGUCUAGAGCCUCUAAACAAAACUAAGUGAUAUUAAUAGUAUUUGAAUGCCACAACCAAAUCUGGGAAAAGUAUAUAAUAAUAAUAAAAUGAAGAAAUAAUGAAGAGCAGCUAGGUCAUGCGAAUGUCAUGCAGCUACCUCAGUGACUCUGAAAUAUCUCUGGAGACUACGAGAAUCAGCUAAGCCUCCGGUGUACCUAAAUCUGCACACAAGGUGCAGGGAGUAGGGGUGAGUAUUACCGAUUUAGUGAAUAAUAAGUAUAGAAAAUAACUGAAAGUUAGAAAUCCACGAAAGACCACAACGCAAAACUAUAACUAACAAUCCAAUAAUUUAGUUACAGGCUAACAACAUAAGUAUCACAACAACAACCAAGUAUCGGAUAAAGAUGCAAUGCAAC